Molecule: ribosomal RNA, 253 nt
Filed under: uncultured bacterium
Lineage: Bacteria
Description: partial 16S ribosomal RNA
Rfam family: Bacterial small subunit ribosomal RNA
Source: RNAcentral
UACAGAGGUCCCAAGCGUUGUUCGGAUUCACUGGGCGUAAAGGGUGCGUAGGUGGUGAGGUAAGUCUGAUGUGAAAUCUCUGGGCUCAACCCAGAAACUGCAUUGGAUACUAUCUCGCUAGAGGAGUGGAGGGGGGACUGGAAUACUUGGUGUAGCAGUGAAAUGCGUAGAUAUCAAGUGGAACACCAGUGGCGAAGGCGGUUGCCUGGGGCUUUGCUGACGCUGAUGCGCGAAAGCGUGGGGAGCGAUCCGG